GUUCCAACACUUUUUCCUGAACUUUGAUGCAGUAACUAAGCAUUUAUUCAUGUAUUCCUUUUCUCUGUCUUGUUUGAUGUGUAAGCCAUGUGGUAGGGCUCCAUGUUGAGUCCUUUCUUCCAGGGUGACCUAUUGCUGGUUCUGCUGGAGGAGCUGCAAAGAUCCACAACCCCACUGCCUGCACUGAGGAGAGUAGGGAGACUACAUGUGAGAGUUCUGGCUGAUUUCUGGUGGCAGGGCAUCCCAUCCCUCUCCCACUGCAUUUUCUGCUUCCUCAGUGAAGAAGUUAUGAGCUGGGGAUAGCACUGCAGUGGAAGCAGAGUGAUUCAGAAAAUAUCAAAACACUUCCACAUGCAAGGGAGUUCUCCAGCAAACUGUGUGAGCUUGUUCAAACUUCAGCGUAUUAUCUACCAUGAGCCUGAUGCUCCUCCUCACCUCACAGCAAGUUGCAUCUCCUGUUUGUUCCAUAUAGAUCAGAGCUGGUUCUCCGAAGUGUUACUCAGACAAGGAUUAUGCUAUAUGCAGAUUUAUGUCAACAGCUGAUGUUGGCAGCACAGAUCUCUAGAUGGAGAGUGACAGAUGUACUGUAAAGAGCCUGCACACACAAACUCUCAUCCAACCAUGGUGAAGAUUGAUGUAGCAUCAGAGUGAGCAAUACUUCAGCAUUUCUUUUCUCCUUUCCGGAGACUUCUGUGUGUCUUUUCUUUCCAGUAUGGAUUCAGGGAAUGUCUCUUUCCCUCCUAAUACUGUCUCAAGCUAUGGGUUGAGUUGGAUGUGAGUUAGUUCCUAGAGAGCAGUAGAAGCUGGAACAGAUGAGAGGAUUCCAGCUGCUCCUGCCUACCUCUGGCCAGUGGACAUCUUUGUGCACAUUCCUGCUAAAUAGGCUCCACAGUACUCAGCUCAGCCCUGGCUCUGAUCAGGCUUUGUUUCUCCAAAUACUCUCUGAGCUUCUUUCUAUUCACUCCCAAGCUCCCUCAAGAAAUACUGACUGAUUGCAGUGUUUUUAUAGGAGACAAGAAAUACAUUGCUGUAGAGCCUUCCAGCAAUUUGAUUUAUAGCUGUGCAAGCACUCUGGUAAUUGCAUGUAAUAAGUUAUUGGUCCAGACCACAAUAUCUUGCACUUACAAAUGCUAGAGGGAACUCUUUUUGCUUGUAAAGCUUUUCUGAGCCUUACCCACUCUUCUUAGUUCACUUUUGAUACAUUCUUGAAAGGAUGUUUUGUCACACUUGGUGAACUGUCAUCCAGGGAAGUUCCUCUUAAUGUACUUUGAGCUUGUGUUCUGAGAGAGUAGACUUACGAACAACAUUUUAGAUAUAUUUCAACCUUUCUCUACCGUGCAUAUUCUCACCUGAAAGGCCGGUGAACCUUCCUUGUAAAUUCUUGGACUAAAUUACAGUGUGAAAUAAUGAGAUUCAGUUAAAGAAUUUUGUUUCCUUGUUUUAAACAUCCUAUAAUCACAUUAUGUGAAUUAACACCCUCUUCAUGAUUUGUGCAAAAAAAAAAAAGGAAGCGAUAAUACUUUUAUAUACUUUUCAAUCUUUUUAUUUCUGAGUGGAUUUGUUAUUCAUCUUAGGUACCUGUUUUGGAAAUUGCAUUGCCACACUGAAAGUAUUCUGUCAACUUACCUAUUAUUUUAUAUCACUUUAACCUUUCUAGAUUUACUCAUUUCUAUAUUCUUUCCCAUAUUCUAAUUCUACUUAGCACUGAGCUGAGUAAUUGUAUUUCUUACUCAUAAAAACACAGAUCUUUCCAACCAUUACAGUUAAUUGACAAUCCAAAAACAUAUUUGGUGGUCAGUAUUUCUCCAGAAUUUGUAUUUCUCAACAAUUAAUCCCUCUGAGAUGUUUCCUGCUUAUCUGAGCAGUACUAAGCUUGGAAGAACUGAAUGAGCACUGAAGGAACAAAUGAUUUUGAUGAAAAGGAGGAACAGAGAAAAAAAAAAUACAAUUAAACUCCAUCUGGAAAGGGUUUCAACUGCACAAAUACAUGGAAGGAACAAGAAUAAAGGGAUUUGAACAUUGUUAUAUCA
Molecule: long non-coding RNA, 2030 nt
Filed under: Numida meleagris (helmeted guineafowl)
Lineage: Eukaryota; Metazoa; Chordata; Aves; Galliformes; Numididae
Description: lncRNA (ENSNMEG00000007560.1)
Source: RNAcentral